This 225-nucleotide long non-coding RNA is filed under the name Daucus carota (carrot). RNAcentral's name for it is "long non-coding RNA (DCAR_LNC004171)". The record is from RNAcentral. Lineage: Eukaryota; Viridiplantae; Streptophyta; Magnoliopsida; Apiales; Apiaceae.
CUUGCCGGAACCACCAGAAAGGCAGAGACGCACAUAUUUUCUCCUCUUUGGACCCGCUCGGGUGGCCUCAUUUUGAUUUGUCAAGAUUUUGACCAUAGAUCCAUCUGCUGACCUUGUAAGUGGAUUUAUAUGUUUGAUCAUGAUCAAGGUACAAUCUUUUCAUGGUUUUCCUGUUGAUUUUAAUGAGUUUAUUAUGGGUUUUUGUUAUGUGUUUUUUGUAUUCAA